RNAcentral lists this ribosomal RNA (375 nucleotides) under uncultured bacterium. Its description in RNAcentral is "bacterial SSU rRNA". It matches the Rfam family "Bacterial small subunit ribosomal RNA", at positions 524 to 898 of the family's 1533-position model. The record is from RNAcentral.
UACGUAGGUGGCGAGCGUUACUCGGAAUUACUAGGCGUAAAGCGUAUGUAGGUGGUCAGAUAAGUCUAUGGUGAAAUUUCCUGGCUCAACUGGGAAGGGACAUAGAUACUAUCUGGCUUGAGUGUGGGAGGGGAAGACGGAAUUCCUGGUGUAGCGGUGAAAUGCGUAGAUAUCAGGAGGAACACCGAUGGCGAAAGCAGUCUUCUGGCCCAAUACUGACACUGAGGUACGAAAGCUAGGGUAGCAAACAGGAUUAGAUACCCUGGUAGUCCUAGCUGUAAACGAUGUUCACUAGAUGUGGGAGGUAUCGACCCCUUCCGCGUCGACGCUAACGCAUUAAGUGAACCGCCUGGGGAGUACGGCCGCAAGGUUGAA